Molecule: ribosomal RNA, 253 nt
Filed under: uncultured bacterium
Lineage: Bacteria
Description: partial 16S ribosomal RNA
Rfam family: Bacterial small subunit ribosomal RNA
Source: RNAcentral
UACAGAGACUGCAAGCGUUAUUCGGAUUCACUGGGCGUAAAGGGUGCGCAGGCGGCCGUGUGUGUCAGGUGUGAAAGCUCGGAGCUUAACUCCGGAAUUGCGCCUGAAACUACAUGGCUAGAGCAUUGGAGAGGGUAGCGGAAUUCACGGUGUAGCAGUGAAAUGCGUAGAUAUCGUGAGGAACACCAGAGGCGAAGGCGGCUACCUGGACAAUUGCUGACGCUCAGGCACGAAAGCGUGGGGAGCAAAAGGG